UGAGCCUUCCAAUUCUGGAUUGUAGUCC
Molecule: non-coding RNA, 28 nt
Filed under: Mus musculus (house mouse)
Lineage: Eukaryota; Metazoa; Chordata; Mammalia; Rodentia; Muridae
Source: RNAcentral